AUAAGAACUCACGAUCUGUUUGCAGUUGGUUUUCAGCCAGUCGGCACAUGAUCACUCGAGUAAAUUCUCCGCAAAAGUCUUGGUAGGAAAUCCUACGGAUAAAAACCAGAUUAGGUAUUGUGGAUCAGCCUGGCAAGUCCCGAGAUCGCAAGCAAGCGAGUCUGAUCAGACCCAGCCCCAGGCUGAGACCGCUGAGUCGAUGAAAAGACAGGCCUUCUUCAGAAAGUAUCCGGGGCCUAGGCCUAGAAAUUCUUGUCAUGGGAAACACAACUGAGGAAUGCGAAAAUUUGACCUACAGGUCUUUGUUAGUCUUUUUAAAUACUUCACAUCUCGGAAGACAAUACUAUACACUUUUAAAGCUUCAUUACACAAUACCGGUAGUUCUCUAUUUCCUUUUUUUUUUGUACAAUUCCAUUCUAAUUUCUAUUGAUAUGGGGGCACAUUCAAUAUCUGUAACAACACAACAAUCAAUGUUAGUAUUUUUUUUCAAACAGACAUACAGUGCAUUAUGUAAUGUUUGGCAUAAGGUGUAGUAGUAUUUUUGGUGUGAAUCACACCUAGGAUAACCCAAUAAAUCCGAAGACUUGUUUCCAGUGGGGUCCUUCUGGUGGUGAAUUGGUCAGUACACCAGAAGACAACUCCUUACUCUUUUCCGAAGACAUUUUAUAGAGUAGCAAUAACCUACUGGUAUCAACGUUAAUCAGUCAUUUUACAGUCAUAAAUUCUGAAUAAGCUUUUUUAACCAUACCAACACUGA
This is a long non-coding RNA of Anneissia japonica, 757 nucleotides long. RefSeq lists it as uncharacterized. The record is from RefSeq and is a predicted model, not a curated record. NCBI's taxonomy places the organism in Eukaryota, Metazoa, Echinodermata, Crinoidea, Comatulida, Comatulidae. The transcript has 3 exons.